GUUGUCUGUGAAGCCUAGUAACCUCAGAGCACCAGACUGUUGUCUGUGAAGCCUAGUAACCUCCCAGCACCAGACUACACACAGACAGAACUGGGCAUCAUAGCAUCAGAAGAGGAAGACCUGACAUUUUCAGCCACUAACACAGAAGGACCAUUGUUACACUUUCCUUUUUUAAAUCCAUGUUAGUUGUUGUGGCAGAGAAUCACUCAGGACCACAAAGGUUCUGAGCUGCCCCUCCCUGUGCCUGAGUAGAAAGGGCCCCCUGUCUGUCUCAGCUGUAAUACCAGUCCAGGGGAGGGUACUAGGUAGAAAGGGCCCCCUGUCUGUCUCGGCUGUAAUACCAGUCCAGGGGAGGGUACUAGGUAGAAAGGGCCCCCUGUCUGUCUCAGCUGUAAUACCAGUCCAGGGGAGGGUACUAGGUAGAAAGGGGCCCCUGUCUGUCUCAGUUAUAAUACAAGUCCAGGGGAGGGUACUAGGUAGAAAGGGCCCCCUGUCUGUCUCAGUUAUAAUACAAGUCCAGGGGAGGGUACUACUUAGAAAGGGCCCCCUGUCUGUCUCAGCUGUAAUACCAGUCCAGGGGAGGGUACUAGGUAGAAAGGGCCCCCUGUCUGUCUCAGCUGUAAUACCAGUCCAGGGGAGGGUACUAGGUAGAAAGGGCCCCCUGUCUGUCUCAGUUAUAAUACCAGUCCAGGGGAGGGUACUAGGUAGUUACAGACAGACAAGUUGUAAGUUGUGUAGUCCAGGACAGGUCAGUUACAGACAGACAGGUUGUGUAGUCUAGGACAGGUCAGUUACACUAGGAGAUAGAUGGUUACAGACAGACAGGCUGUGUAGUCUAGGACAGGUCAGUUCCACUAGGAGAUAGGUGGUUACAGACAGACAGACAGGUUGUGUAGUCUAGGACAGGUCAGUUACACUAGGAGAUAGAUGGUUACAGACAGACAGACAGGUUGUGUAGUCUAGGACAGGUCAGUUACACUAGGAGAUAGAUGGUUACAGACAGACAGGCUGUGUAGUCUAGGACAGGUCAGUUCCACUAGGAGAUAGGUGGUUACAGACAGACAGGUUGUGUAGUCUAGGACAGGUCAGUUACAGACAGACAGGUUGUGUAGUCUAGGACAGGUCAGUUCCACUAGGAGAUAGGUGGUUACAGACAGACAGGUUGUGUAGUCUAGGACAGGUCAGUUACAGACAGACAGGUUGUGUAGUCUAGGACAGGUCAGUUACACUAGGAGAUAGAUGGUUAUAGACAGACAGGUGGUGUAGUCUAGGACAGGUCAGUUCCACUAGGAGAUAGAUGGUUACAGACAGACAGGUCAGUUCCACUAGGAGAUAGAUGGUGACAGACAGGUCAGUUCCACUAGGAGAUAGAUGGUUACAGACAGACAGGUCAGUUCCACUAGGAGAUAGGUGGUUACAGACAGACAGGUUGUGUAGUCUAGGACAGGUCAGUUCCACUAGGAGAUAGGUGGUUACAGACAGACAGGUUGUGUAGUCUAGGACAGGUCAGUUACAGACAGACAGGUUGUGUAGUCUAGGACAGGUCAGUUCCACUAGGAGAUAGGUGGUUGCAGACAGACAGGUUUUGUAGUCUAGGACAGGUCAGUUACAGACAGACAGGUUGUGUAGUCUAGGACAGGUCAGUUCCACUAGGAGAUAGAUGGUUAUAGACAGACAGGCUGUGUAGUCUAGGACAGGUCAGUUCCACUAGGAGAUAGAUGGUGACAGACAGACAGGUCAGUUCCACUAGGAGAUAGAUGGUUACAGACAGACAGGUCAGUUCCACUAGGAGAUAGAUGGUGACAGACAGACAGGUCAGUUCCACUAGGAGAUAGAUGGUUACAGACAGACAGGUCAGUUCCACUAGGAGAUAGAUGGUUACAGACAGACAGUGUAGUAGCAAUAUAAAGAUGAUUAUAAAAUGUGAGAUUAAAGACCUGACGUUCAUACUAAUAUUCAGCCAGUUAACCACAGUCCUGGAGUCAGAUGUUAACUCCUGUCUCUAAAUAGUGGAGGUUAGGGCCCCGUUAACCACAGUCCUGGAGUCAGAGGUUAACUAAAGGACUCCAGCCGGGGGG
This is a long non-coding RNA of Oncorhynchus tshawytscha (Chinook salmon), 2078 nucleotides long. Lineage: Eukaryota; Metazoa; Chordata; Actinopteri; Salmoniformes; Salmonidae. The record is from Ensembl.